UCCCUGGUAGCUCAGCUGUAAAGAAUCUGCCUGCGAUGCAGGAAACCUAGGUUCCAUUCCUGGGUUGGGAA
This 71-nucleotide transfer RNA is filed under the name Bos taurus (domestic cattle). It matches the Rfam family "tRNA". Rfam says of the family: Transfer RNA (tRNA) molecules are approximately 80 nucleotides in length. Their secondary structure includes four short double-helical elements and three loops (D, anti-codon, and T loops). Lineage: Eukaryota; Metazoa; Chordata; Mammalia; Artiodactyla; Bovidae. RNAcentral also lists the same sequence under 2 other names. The record is from Rfam by way of RNAcentral.